GCCGGCGUGGUGGAAUGGUAGACACCAGGGACUUAAAAUCCCUUGCAGGGUAACUGCGUACCCGUUCGAGUCGGGCCGCCGGCACCA
RNAcentral lists this transfer RNA (87 nucleotides) under Oscillospiraceae bacterium. RNAcentral's name for it is "tRNA-Leu". It matches the Rfam family "tRNA". Rfam says of the family: Transfer RNA (tRNA) molecules are approximately 80 nucleotides in length. Their secondary structure includes four short double-helical elements and three loops (D, anti-codon, and T loops). The record is from RNAcentral. Lineage: Bacteria; Bacillati; Bacillota; Clostridia; Eubacteriales; Oscillospiraceae.